RNAcentral lists this ribosomal RNA (253 nucleotides) under uncultured bacterium. RNAcentral describes it as "partial 16S ribosomal RNA". It matches the Rfam family "Bacterial small subunit ribosomal RNA", at positions 524 to 776 of the family's 1533-position model. The record is from RNAcentral.
UACAGAGGUCCCGAGCGUUGUUCGGAUUCACUGGGCGUAAAGGGUGCGUAGGUGGCGCCAUAAGUCGGGUGUGAAAUCUCGGGGCUUAACUCCGAAACUGCAUUCGAUACUGUGGUGCUUGAGGACUGGAGAGGAGACUGGAAUUCAUGGUGUAGCAGUGAAAUGCAUAGAGAUCAUGAGGAAGACCAGUGGCGAAGGCGGGUCUCUGGACAGUUCCUGACACUGAGGCACGAAGGCCAGGGGAGCAAACGGG